UAGCUCAGUCAGUUAGAGUGUGGUGCUGAUAAACACCAAGGUCGUGGGUUCAAUCCCCAU
This 60-nucleotide transfer RNA is filed under the name Apaloderma vittatum (bar-tailed trogon). It matches the Rfam family "tRNA", at positions 8 to 63 of the family's 71-position model. From Rfam's summary of the family: Transfer RNA (tRNA) molecules are approximately 80 nucleotides in length. Their secondary structure includes four short double-helical elements and three loops (D, anti-codon, and T loops). Further hydrogen bonds mediate the characteristic L-shaped molecular structure. tRNAs have two regions of fundamental functional importance: the anti-codon, which is responsible for specific mRNA codon recognition, and the 3' end, to which the tRNAs corresponding amino acid is attached (by aminoacyl-tRNA synthetases). tRNAs cope with the degeneracy of the genetic code in two manners: having more than one tRNA (with a specific anti-codon) for a particular amino acid; and 'wobble' base-pairing, i.e. permitting non-standard base-pairing at the 3rd anti-codon position. Lineage: Eukaryota; Metazoa; Chordata; Aves; Trogoniformes; Trogonidae. The record is from Rfam by way of RNAcentral.